This 158-nucleotide small nuclear RNA is filed under the name Crocodylus porosus (Australian saltwater crocodile). Its description in RNAcentral is "U1 spliceosomal RNA (ENSCPRG00005008506.1)". The record is from RNAcentral. Lineage: Eukaryota; Metazoa; Chordata; Crocodylia; Crocodylidae.
CUACUUACCUGGCUGGGGAAACACCAUGACCACCAAGGCAGUUUUCCUAGUUGCCCCUGGGGAUGGCCGCUUUCCUGGCACAGGGUAGUACCCACAAAGGUAAUGUAGUUUUAAACCUACUUUAUGAAAAUGGGAGACUCCUCCCUAGCUUGCUCCUG